AACUGCCGACUAGGGAUCGGGCGACCUCAAUUUGAUGUGUCGCUCGGCACCUUACGAGAAAUCAAAGUCUUUGGGUUCUGGGGGAGUAUGGUCGCAAGGCUGAAACUUAAAGGAAUUGACGGAAGGGCACACCAGGAGUAAACAAAGCUUCGCAGCAGCUCUGCUCCGAAUAGCAGCCCGAAAGGGUGAGGUGGUGAUCCUAGUAAAUGCUAGUCCACAUUUCUAGUGUGGGCAACACCCUCAAAUUGCGGGGAACUCCUAAAGCUUCAGACACCAAGCCUUGUCAACGAAAGUGCAAGGUGGCCAGGUUAAUAGCCUCGGGUAAGGUAAAAGCUCUGAAGAUGAUACAAUGGACGAUCCGCAGCCAAGGCCCUAAGUCUUUAGAAAAAAAGAUAUGGGACAGGUUCAGAGACUAGAUGGGGGUGGGUCACGAACUGUGGCUUAAGGUAUAGUCCGGCCACGGGUGAAAGCUUGUGGGUGAAUAGAAAACGGGAGCCUGCGGCUUAAUUUGACUCAACACGG
Molecule: ribosomal RNA, 522 nt
Filed under: uncultured fungus
Lineage: Eukaryota; Fungi
Description: partial 18S ribosomal RNA
Rfam family: Eukaryotic small subunit ribosomal RNA (bases 1-203)
Source: RNAcentral